CAGCAGUGAGGAAGGCGGGUACGUUAAUAGCGUGCUUGUUUGACGUUAGCUGCAGAAGAAGCACCGGCUAACUCCGUGCCAGCAGCCGACGGUAAGUAACGGGAGGGUGCGAGUACGUUUAAGUACGGAAUUUACGUGGGACGUAAAGCGCAUGCAGGUGGUUUGUUAAGUCAGAUGUAGAAACGGCCCCGGGGCUACAACCGUACGGUAAUUGCUAUUUAGAAACGUGGCAGACUAGAGUACUGUAGAGGGGGUAGAAUUUCAGGUGUAGCGGUGAAAAUGCGUAGAGAUCUGAAGGAAUACCGGUGGCGAAGGCGGCCCCCUGGACAGAUACUGACACUCAGAUGCGAAAGCGUGGGGAGCAAACAGGAUUAGAUACCCUGGUAG
This 387-nucleotide ribosomal RNA is filed under the name uncultured bacterium. Its description in RNAcentral is "bacterial SSU rRNA". It matches the Rfam family "Bacterial small subunit ribosomal RNA", at positions 434 to 793 of the family's 1533-position model. The record is from RNAcentral.